UACAGAGGUCUCAAGCGUUGUUCGGAUUCAUUGGGCGUAAAGGGUGCGUAGGUGGCAUGGUAAGUCGGAUGUGAAAUCCCGGGGCUCAACCCCGGAACUGCAUUCGAUACUGCUGCGCUAGAGUACUGGAGAGGAGAUUGGAAUUUACGGUGUAGCAGUGAAAUGCGUAGAUAUCGUAAGGAAGACCAGUGGCGAAGGCGGGUCUCUGGACAGUUCCUGACGCUGAGGCACGAAGGCCAGGGGAGCAAACGGG
Molecule: ribosomal RNA, 253 nt
Filed under: uncultured bacterium
Lineage: Bacteria
Description: partial 16S ribosomal RNA
Rfam family: Bacterial small subunit ribosomal RNA
Source: RNAcentral